UACGAAGGGGGCGAGCGUUGUUCGGAUUUACUGGGCGUAAAGGGCGCGCAGGCGGCUCAUUUUGUCAGGCGUGAAAGCCCCGGGCUUAACCUGGGAGGUGCGUCUGGGACUGGGUGGCUAGAGAUCGGGAGAGGUGAGUGGAAUUCCGAGUGUAGAGGUGAAAUUCGUAGAUAUUCGGAAGAACACCAGUGGCGAAGGCGGCUCACUGGACCGUUGUUGACGCUGAGGUGCGAAAGCGUGGGGAGCAAACAGG
This 253-nucleotide ribosomal RNA is filed under the name uncultured bacterium. Its description in RNAcentral is "partial 16S ribosomal RNA". It matches the Rfam family "Bacterial small subunit ribosomal RNA", at positions 524 to 776 of the family's 1533-position model. The record is from RNAcentral.